GUGCCAGCAGCCGCGGUAAUACGUAGGGACCAAGCGUUGUUCGGAUUUACUGGGCGUAAAGGGCGCGUAGGCGGCUUGACAAGUCACUUGUGAAAUCUCCGGGCUUAACUCGGAACGGCCAAGUGAAACUGUCAUGCUAGAGUGCAGAAGGGGCAAUCGGAAUUCUUGGUGUAGCGGUGAAAUGCGUAGAUAUCAAGAGGAACACCUGAGGUGAAGACGGGUUGCUGGGCUGACACUGACGCUGAGGCGCGAAAGCCAGGGGAGCAAACGGGAUUAGAUACCCCGGUAGUCC
Molecule: ribosomal RNA, 292 nt
Filed under: uncultured bacterium
Lineage: Bacteria
Description: partial 16S ribosomal RNA
Rfam family: Bacterial small subunit ribosomal RNA
Source: RNAcentral